GUAUGCUUGGUGCCAGGGUCCUUUGUGCCCGAAGAAAUCUUAACGCCGAAGUUAUCUCUAGGCGUCAAGUCUCAAUGCCAUUGUUCCCCGCCGCAACGGAGGCUCCUCUGAUUCCGCAGAUAAACACGGCAGCCGAGGGGGGGAAGCGUGACAAGUUCUCCAAGGGGGAAGAGAUCAAGUCUGACCCAGCCGAGCACCAGCACGAGCAAGGCCCCGGAGAGCGUGGCCAGCGGCCGGGCGGACCGCACCGUGCUUGGCCCUGCUCGUUGCCCUCGGCCCCCUCCGCACCGGGGCGGGGGGUCGGGCUGGCACCGGGCAGCCACGUCGGUGCCUGGCGGCCCCCUCGGCGCCGGGCUCGGCAGGCGCG
RNAcentral lists this long non-coding RNA (367 nucleotides) under Dromaius novaehollandiae (emu). RNAcentral describes it as "lncRNA (ENSDNVG00000011796.1)". Lineage: Eukaryota; Metazoa; Chordata; Aves; Casuariiformes; Dromaiidae. The record is from RNAcentral.